GACGAACGCUGGCGGCGUGCUUAACACAUGCAAGUCGAACGGAAAGGCCCUGCUUUUGUGGGGUGCUCGAGUGGCGAACGGGUGAGUAACAUGUGAGUAACCUGCCCUUGACUUUGGGAUAACUUCAGGAAACUGGGGCUAAUACCGGAUAGGAGCUCCUGCUGCAUGGUGGGGGUUGGAAAGUUUCGGCGGUUGGGGAUGGACUCGCGGCUUAUCAGCUUGUUGGUGGGGUAGUGGCUUACCAAGGCUUUGACGGGUAGCCGGCCUGAGAGGGUGACCGGCCACAUUGGGACUGAGAUACGGCCCAGACGCCUACGGGAGGCAGCAGUGGGGAAUAUUGCACAAUGGGCGGAAGCCUGAUGCAGCAACGCCGCGUGCGGGAUGACGGCCUUCGGGUUGUAAACCGCUUUCGCCUGUGACGAAGCGUGAGUGACGGUAAUGGGUAAAGAAGCACCGGCUAACUACGUG
Molecule: ribosomal RNA, 468 nt
Filed under: uncultured bacterium
Lineage: Bacteria
Description: partial 16S ribosomal RNA
Rfam family: Bacterial small subunit ribosomal RNA
Source: RNAcentral